GGAGCUACGUAGCUCAGCAGUUGAGUAUCUGCUUGGCAUGCAGAAUGGUCCCAGGUUCAAUCCUUGACAUCCA
This 73-nucleotide transfer RNA is filed under the name Sphaerodactylus townsendi. Its description in RNAcentral is "tRNA-Ala". The record is from RNAcentral. Lineage: Eukaryota; Metazoa; Chordata; Lepidosauria; Squamata; Sphaerodactylidae.